GUAGUCCUAGCUGUAAACGGUGCACAUUUGCUGUAAGAGGAAUCGACCCCUUUUGUGGCGAAGCUAACGCGAUAAAUGUGCCGCCUGGGGAGUACGGUCGCAAGAUUAAAACUCAAAGAAAUUGACGGGGGCCUGCACAAGCGGUGGAGUAUGUGGCUUAAUUCGAUGCAACGCGAAGAACCUUACCUGGCCUUGACAUGCAUUUAGUAGGAGGGUGAAAGCCCGACGAGAUAGCAAUAUCAGGAUGCACAGGUGCUGCAUGGCUGUCGUCAGCUCGUGUCGUGAGAUGUUGGGUUAAGUCCCGCAACGAGCGCAACCCUUAUGUCCUGUUGCCACUCAAACGAGAGUUUGGAGCACUCUGGACAGACUGCCUCGCUCAAACGAGGA
Molecule: ribosomal RNA, 387 nt
Filed under: uncultured bacterium
Lineage: Bacteria
Description: bacterial SSU rRNA
Rfam family: Bacterial small subunit ribosomal RNA
Source: RNAcentral